Molecule: long non-coding RNA, 718 nt
Organism: Gasterosteus aculeatus aculeatus (three-spined stickleback)
Lineage: Eukaryota; Metazoa; Chordata; Actinopteri; Perciformes; Gasterosteidae
Source: Ensembl
GGAGCCUCCGGCCGCGGCGCUUGCGGGGGAGUCUCCAGCCGCGGAGGUGGCUGCGGCGUCCGUGAGGCCGUUUCCGGUUCCGGUGCCGCGGGCCGUUGCGCUGCUGUGCCUGACCCACACGGGAGACGCACAGCGACAGCACCAACGAGGCCGACUGGAGGAGGGAGUGGGAAGGGGAAGUCCUGCUGAGCCACAACACCAACCUCAGUGGAGGAGUGGGCUUCCUCUUCUCCAGGUCUUUUAAGCCAAUCUCCCUGGAGGUCAAACACAUCAUCGAGGGGAGGUUGUUUUUAGUCAAGGCACGGUUCGACCUUUUUACUGUUUUUAUCAAUGUGUAUGCUCCAACAAUCGGUACAGAGAGGAAGCUUUUUUUAACAAAAGUUAAUGAUCUUUUAGAUGGCUGUGCCCCGGAGGAUUUUUUAUUCUUGGGGGGGGAUUUUAACUGCACAGAAGAUGCGACCAUAGACCGCAACCACGCAGAGCCACAUCCAGCUUCCCAGCACGCUCUGAGGCAGCUGGUCCAGUCUCAUGGCCUGGUGGAUGUGUGGAGAAGGAUGCAUGCAGACUGCCGACAGUACACGUGGUCCCACCUCAGAGAAGAGCAAGGCUGGACAUCAGCAGCAGUGGUACCCCAGGCCUGAUGGGGGCGCUGCUGAAAGCACGAGUCCUGUGCCUGCAGCAGCUGGUGGACGCAGUGGGGCCGACGCUGAGUGACGCC